Long non-coding RNA from Lycium barbarum (goji berry), 1951 nucleotides. RefSeq lists it as uncharacterized. Lineage: Eukaryota; Viridiplantae; Streptophyta; Magnoliopsida; Solanales; Solanaceae. The record is from RefSeq and is a predicted model, not a curated record. The transcript is spliced from 3 exons.
UUGAGCCCAAUAUCUAGCCCAACCUUCAGAAACCUAAAGUCGUGUGAGGGUCUUUCAUUUUUUCAAGAGCAGCCGCAUAGUCAUUCAUCUUCCUCCCUUCCAUUUUGAGCAAAAUAACUAAGCUCCACCAUCCAUGGACAGAAGUUGCCCCGCUAUUUUAAUGCUAUGGCUUUGUCAUCUACUUUGUUUUGCUCGUCUCAGCCACGUGAAGGUUGUCAAGACCAUCCAAAAUCCCUCAACGUUCGGAUUUCAAAAUCCCGCCCAAAGACAUUGUUAAAAAACCUAGCCUCACUCUAUAAAUACUUCUCUUUAGAGUCCAAUAGAAGGGGGGUCGCCUCUUCAUAUCUUGAGAAAUAAUAUUGAUAGUUCUUCACUCUCAUCAUUGUUAGUAUCUCUCAAAAAGCUCUAAAACAUUGUUUCUAAAAAUCUCUUUCUCUUUCGAUAGAAUUUUAACCGCAAUGGAGGUAUCCUAAUUUUUUCCGAAUCAAGUUUCGAAUCUGUUUCUUAACUAGAGAGUGGAUUCGAGGUCCGACGACCUAUUUCACUGCACUCAAAACAGGUAUGGAUUUUACAUUGGAGUACAUCUGUGAUCAACAAUUGACGAGAACCAAGUACAUCACAAAAUGGAGCUAGAAAUUUAGACAAAGGAAAUUGUAUUUACUUUACUUAGAUUAGGAAACACUUUAUGUCGUCUUCAUUUGAUAUGUAAUAAAUAUUACAUUGCUUUCGUACUUUAUUUUGGGAAAUAGAAUUUGUUUAAUUAGCCAAAAGCAAUGGGAUGAGGUAUUAUGGCACAUUUUUACCCUUCAAACAAACGUUAGGCCUACCUCUGGCACAAAGAGGUCACAUGCAUAUUAGGAUGCGGUAUUGUUAUUUGAUAUACUUGUUUACAUUUUUUCUUGACAACUUAUUUGCCUGUAUUCGAUGAAUUAUUUGCUACAUAUUUGACUCUUGCAUUUUAAUAUGAGACUAAUGCCAUUUGCAUUUUAUGUUUCUUCUUUUUUAUUCCCGAAAGAGUUGAUUCGUGUUGACAUUUGAACUGGCCGACCAUCCUUACUUCACAAGAUCAAAGACGUCAGCAUUACCUCGACGUAGUUGGGCUAUCCAAGGAAGGAAAACUACUAUGUCUAAUCCAGCAGCAUUUAUUUCAACUGGUUUGGAAAACAUCAUGAUCUCAUUGGGCUGUUUUGGAAGUAAUUUAAGGAUGAAUUUAAUUCUAGUUUGAUAUGAAAUUAUUGGUAUUGUUGUUGUUGGUAUUUUGAUUGAUGUUUGGCUAAAUUGGAAUUUCGAGGAUUAUUAAGUUUGCAGGGGAAAUGCUGCCCGAAUUUUGUUAAGUUUCAUUCGUACUUGGAUUGGUUAGUAAGUGAUGUGGAUAAUCUAACUGUGGCCUAUGUUAUCUUAAUUUUAGACCUACGAGCUCGAGAAGUAGACGUUGGACAUUUAGAUAGAGUUCAAGGUACAGAUACUUGGUUUGGUAACCCUCCAGUCUAAGACUUCUGCUCAGCUGUUUGGAGAGCUCUAUUGUCCGGAGCCUAAGUCAUUGUGAUACAGAUCUUUUGGUAUGGGCUUAUGUAUAUCCAGGGGUACGGCGGGGCCCUGUCCCGUCAUAUUUCACUAUGAUACUCUUAGAGGUCUGUAGACAUAUGUGGGUUGUACAUGGGUUAUGGUCAGCUGUGUCAAUACGGUUUGCUAUGGAUAUUCCCGCUUGUUAUGGCAGCCUUGUUGGCUUGCGUAUGACAUUGAUAUGUUAUGGCAGCCUUGUCGGCUUGCGUAUGGUAUUGAUAUGUUAUGGCAGCCUUGUCAGCUUGCGUAUGGUAUUGAUAUGUUGUGGCAGCCUUGUCGGCUUGUGUAUGAUAUUACAUGUAGUGGCAGCCUUGCCGGCUUGCGUAUCCUAUUAUGUUUUGAUUAGCUGUGACUCCUCGGGAGACAGGUUAUCGAGAUACAUAUAUAU